RNAcentral lists this long non-coding RNA (244 nucleotides) under Dasypus novemcinctus (nine-banded armadillo). RNAcentral describes it as "lncRNA (ENSDNOG00000051421.1)". Lineage: Eukaryota; Metazoa; Chordata; Mammalia; Cingulata; Dasypodidae. The record is from RNAcentral.
GAAACAACAGGAGGAAAGCGAGCAGAGGGUGAGCAGUGCUUUCUCCAGAGACCUGACCCGACUGCCUCUGCACAUGGGGGCGGAGCAUCGACAGCACCAAGAAGAAGGAGAAGGAGAAGGAGGAGAAGGAGAAGAAAACAAAAGCGGUGGAAGUGGUUUCUGAGUAGUGAAGACUGCUUUAGCAUGUCAUCUAGUUGGGGGGAGAAAUGAAAGCCUUAUUGAGAAACCGUAGUCCCUUUUGUUG